GGUUGUAUAGUGUAGUGGUCAUCACCUUGGAUUCUGACUUUUUCCAGUAACCCCGGUUCGAACCCGGGUACGACCU
Molecule: transfer RNA, 76 nt
Filed under: Yarrowia sp. B02
Lineage: Eukaryota; Fungi; Ascomycota; Dipodascomycetes; Dipodascales
Description: tRNA-Gln
Rfam family: tRNA
About the family: Transfer RNA (tRNA) molecules are approximately 80 nucleotides in length. Their secondary structure includes four short double-helical elements and three loops (D, anti-codon, and T loops). Further hydrogen bonds mediate the characteristic L-shaped molecular structure. tRNAs have two regions of fundamental functional importance: the anti-codon, which is responsible for specific mRNA codon recognition, and the 3' end, to which the tRNAs corresponding amino acid is attached (by aminoacyl-tRNA synthetases). tRNAs cope with the degeneracy of the genetic code in two manners: having more than one tRNA (with a specific anti-codon) for a particular amino acid; and 'wobble' base-pairing, i.e. permitting non-standard base-pairing at the 3rd anti-codon position.
Source: RNAcentral